Long non-coding RNA from Mauremys reevesii (Reeves's turtle), 482 nucleotides. RefSeq lists it as uncharacterized. Lineage: Eukaryota; Metazoa; Chordata; Testudines; Geoemydidae. The transcript has 3 exons. The record is from RefSeq and is a predicted model, not a curated record.
UAGAGUGGAGCGGUGACUGUGGGUGUUGACUGAGUCUCUGCUCUAGUGGGGCUGAUGUGGAUGGGAUGGGAGAGGGAGGCAGGGAUGAGGGCAAGAUUUCACGCAUCAAUUGUAUUUUGUGUAGCGAUGGCUCUUGCUUGGCUUAUUUCCUGCACUUGCAGAGAAAUCUUCGGGAGCAGCAGCAGGAGGAGAAACUAGCAGAUGCGGACCUGGGCAGCCUGGACAUCCUUCUAAGCACAGAUUAACAGUCCUUAGCUUUCUGCCUUCCACAUAACUGGCUGUGAUACCAAGGAAAAAUAAGUCACAUGUCAGAGUCUACUGCCCUCAUGCAAUGGAAAGUGAGUGAGAGCAGCAAGCCUGUGAGCAUUGUUCAUGCCAGGCAAGAGCUGUUCAUUUGGGAGCCAAGCAGAUACCACUGUCAGUGAGUUUGCAGAGGAAUCGUCCAGGAGCCCUCGCCGGAGGAGAAUAUGCAGAAGUGGAUC